RNAcentral lists this long non-coding RNA (2059 nucleotides) under Daucus carota (carrot). RNAcentral's name for it is "long non-coding RNA (DCAR_LNC002137)". The record is from RNAcentral. Lineage: Eukaryota; Viridiplantae; Streptophyta; Magnoliopsida; Apiales; Apiaceae.
UUGUCACCUAAUAACUUACACCAGACAAUGUAGUUCAUCAGGUUUUCCUAGACUAUAAGUUUAUAGCUUUAUGCUGCGUUUGGUUGGAGUCUUGGAGAGAAUGGGAUGUUGAAUGAAACGUUGGGAAGAAAAUCAAAGCUAAAAAAGUGGUGGAAGAUAGAAUAGUUAAAAAAUGUGAAUGCAAAUUUUUCUAUGAGGAUUUGUGGAAAAAGAUGAGUAGAAGUAGGAAAGAAGCAUCAGUAUUCAUCCACUAAGUUGUGGGAUCAAGCUCUUCCACAAAUAUGUGUCAAAGGAAUGGAAUUAGGACUCUUUUCCUAUACAUUACAAAUUUCUUUCAAUUUCAAGCUACAUACAUUCGUUCCAAACCAUAGUGCUGGGUUACAGAACGAGUCUUAUAGUUAGAUGUAUAUGUCUCUCAUAGAAGCAUUUAACUUUGAGUUAUCAACAGAGAGUUGUGAAUCUUGAGCUGGUUCCACCCAAUGUUUGAUUAGUCUUGCGUGUUUAUCUUGUCUCGUGAAUACUAUUUCAGCCUUCUCAGUAGAUUUAUUAGUCUAAAUCCAUAAUGUGUUGCUUUUCACUAGAGUAUGAAGUUGAUUAUAUACAUAAAUUGUGGAGGGCAUUGUCUUGGAGUUUCCACCGCUCUUUUUGUUUAGUUCCACCCUGUCCUCCAACCAUAUAUAUGCAGGCAAUUGAUAAUUAGAAACCAAAAUUAUAAUAGAAACUAAUCUACACUACUACUUUUUUUUUUUGUAAAAUAGAUUUUGUAUAAUCUUACCUGCAUAUAUAAUUCACAUUCAAUAUAUAUACAUAUCUUUUUCUCCCCUAUCAUGUUCAUGUGUCUCCCUUUCAUCAUUUCCUCUUCAAUAUUCACAGCCUCCAUCACAACAUUGCCAUUUGCAAACUGCAAACAUCAAUUUUUACUGCCCCUGUAAAAACACCAACAUUCACGGUCAUUUUCUUCUUAAUUAGCAGCAAUCUCUGGCGGGUGACCUUGUUGAUGGGGAGUUUUAUUUUUGGGAUCUUCUCUUUCUCUCUCCCUAAUGACACUCAUUCUAUGUAAUCAUAGAGUGUUUUUGUCACCUAAUAACUUACACCAGACAAUGUUGUUCAUCAGGUUUUUCUAGACUAUAAGUUUAUAGCUUAAUGCUGCGUUUGGUUGGAGUCUUGGAGAAAAUGGGAUGUUGAAUGAAACAUUGGGAAGAAAAUCAAAGCUAAAAAAGUGGUGGAAGAUAGUAUAGUUAAAAAAUGUGAAUGCAAAUUUUUCUAUGAGGAUUUGUGGAAAAAGAUGAGUAGAAGUAGGAAAGAAGCAUCAGUAUUCAUCCACUAAGUUGUGGGAUCAAGCUCUUCCACAAAUAUGUGUCAAAGGAAUGGAAUUAGGACUCUUUUCCUAUACAUUACAAAUUUCUUUCAAUUUCAAGCUACAUACAUUCGUUCCAAACCAUAGUGCUGGGUUACAGAACGAGUCUUAUAGUUAGAUGUAUAUGUCUCUCAUAGAAGCAUUUAACUUUGAGUUAUCAACAGAGAGUUGUGAAUCUUGAGCUGGUUCCACCCAAUGUUUGAUUAGUCUUGCGUGUUUAUCUUGUCUCGUGAAUACUAUUUCAGCCUUCUCAGUAGAUUUAUUAGUCUAAAUCCAUAAUGUGUUGCUUUUCACUAGUCUAUGAAGUUGAUUAUAUACAUAAAUUGUGGAGGGCAUUGUCUUGGAGUUUCCACCGCUCUUUUUGUUCAGUUCCACCCUGUCCUCCGACCAUAUAUAUGCAGGCAAUUGAUAAAUAGAAACCAAAAUUAUAAUAGAAACUAAUCUACACUACUACCUUUUUUUUUCCGUAAAAUAGAUUUUGUAUAAUCUUACCUGCAUAUAUAAUUCACAUUCAAUAUAUAUAUACAUAUCUUUUUCUCUCCUAUCAUGUUCAUGUGUCUCCCUUUCAUCAUUUCCUCUUCAAUAUUCACAGCCUCCAUCACAACAUUGCCAUUUGCAAACUGCAAACAUCAGUUUUUACUGCCCCUGUAAAAACACCAACAUUCACGGUCAUUUUCCUCUUAAUUAGUAGCAAUCUCUGGC